UUGACGAGCAGGUUGAGUGUAUGACCAUGAAGGACCAGACACUGAGCUCUUCACUACAGUUCAUGCAGCAGGAGCAGGACAAAGUGAUACAGGAGAAUAAGGACUUGCGAGCCCAGGCAGAGGUACUUACUGAUGCUCGUGACAAGGUGAUGCAGAAGCUGAAACUGAUGAAAAAACAACAGGAGACAAUGGGGAAUGAGAGUCAGGGCCAGGUACAGCAGCUGACCGACCAGGUGUCACAGUUACAGGCUCAGUUCUCACAGGCUAACGAGGAUCUACAGGCGAAAAAUAAAACAGUGGGUAACCUGGAAGAAGAAAUUGCUUCACUAAAAAUUAUGCUGGAAAAAGACCAAUCUACAAUGAAAGAAUUAGGGGAGAAAUUGAAUACAAGCAAUGAAGAAAAACAGCACUUAGAGACGACCAACUCCAAUCUGUCCACGAUGCUAGAGGAGGCUAAGUCAGCCAAGGAACAAAUCGCUAAUUCCUUCCAGGAGGAAAUCGAUGUGCUGACACAGCGACUUGAGCAAGACAAAGAAAAACGUCAGGAAAACAAGGAGUCAAAUGAUCAGACAGCUGUAUCUCUUCAGAAGGAGGUCGACGAGCUGACACAAAGGCUGAAGCAGGAGACAGAAAAUCAUAGAAAAGAUGUGGAAGAUUUGACCACAUCACAAAAGAAAUUCCAGGAGGAUUUUGCUAGUACAAGUGAAAUGAUGCAGGACUUGAUCGCAGGAAAGGAAAAGAUGGUUGAGCAGAAAAAAGAAUUGCAAGAUGAAAACCAAAGGUUAAGGAGUACGAUAGAGGAAAGAGAAAAAAUGGCAGAAAUCAGUGCUGACGUAACUGACAAGAUGAAUGUUUUGGAGACACAGAUGGCUGAGGCUGUGAGAGGACGAACAUUGGCAGAGGAAAAGUGUGAAGAACAAGCGAAGAGGAUCCAAGAGGUCGAGUGCACAUGUGACAGUCUCAGGGCAGAUCUUCAGGUCCUAGCCAAAGAAGUAGAGGACAAACAGACCACUAUCAAAAAGCACCAACAAGAAGUCAAGAAUCGGAAGAAAGAGCUAACAACAAUGGAACAGAAAGUUAAAGAGCUACACAGCGCUAAUGAAUCUCUUAAGUCUGCCAAAAAAGAGCAGGCAACCAAGGGAGGUAAGAAGGGUAACCCAAGUGACCAGAAGUUCAAGGCUGUGCUACAUCAGAAGGAGGAAUUGGUGUCAGAGAUAAAAUGUGUAAGCGAGGAACGCGACAGUCUGAAUGUGCGGGUGCGUGACCUGACGGAGGAGCAGGAAAUGUUGAUGGCGGACAUGCAGAAGAAGGAAGAACAGAUGCUGGAGUGGGAACACAUGAUGGAUAUGUUACAACAGGAGAAGGAACGCAUGCUGCACGAACUUGACAUCACCGAGGAACGUGAUCAGAAACUUGUCGCCGAGUUAGACACAAUCAGAUGUACAAUGUCGGAGAUACUGGCGAUCAAAACGGAUCCAGCAGAUGAUGUUUUUGAUGAGGACGAUGACGAUUCUGUGUUGUUGGCCAUGGAUAAAAUCAAAGGACUUGUCACCCAGGUUGUUAAUAAAAUGACAGACCUGAAAUCUGAGUUAGAUAAGGCGUUCAGCAGUAAUGGUGAUAACUCUGUCCAACUUCAGUCGAUUAAACAUGAGCUGGAGAAGGCCAAACAGGAGAAAGAGUCCAUCGAAUGCGAGAAAGAAUCGCUGGCAGUCAUCGUCCAGCUGGCAAAGGAAAAGGAACAGGACUUGUCUUCAGAAAACACGCAUUUGAAGGAAGUGAGUGAGAGUGGGGACACUGAGAUUAGAGAAUUAAGAGAAAUGUGUUUAAGUCUCAAGCAACAGCUAGAUGAGGGAGAGGAGCAGAAAAGUAAAAUGACCAGCCAGGUGAAGGAGAUGGAGGACAAGGUGCGGGAGAGACAAGCUUAUACGGAGGAACUGGAGGAUAAAAUCAUGGAUAUGUCUAACGCCCUGUCUGGGUCAAAGCAGAAACAUGAACAAUUCAUAUCCAAGAUGGAGACAGAUGGAGCAUCAACGACAGACACACUACAACAAGAAAUAAAGGACCUUCAACAAAAUAUCCAGACUCUGGAGGGGGACCUAGUGACGACAAAGUCCAGUCACAAGUUGGCUGUCACAGAGGUCCAAGAAUUGACAAAACAGGCGGAGGACAAAGCAGUGGAGUUAACACAGAUGUCAGACAGACUCAACAGUGUCGAACUAGAACUUAAAAAUCUUAAUGACGAAAAACAAAAACUAAUUGAUGAACACAAGGAAUUGAUAGUGGAAAAAGAAACUGUUUUAACAGGACUUAAAGAAACGUGUGGACAUCUUGAAAUUGAAUGUCAAAGUGCGAAAGAAGAAAAAGAAAAAUUUGUUGCUGAGAAUCAAACAUUGCAGGAAGAGGUUUCAGCUUACAAGGCCAAGUGUUCAAGUCUCGAGGAGAACGUCGCCCAUUUACAGAUGUCGUCACAAACAAAUGCAGAGAGUUUGUCCUCCCAUACAACAGUACUCCAGGACCAGAUCAUUAAUCUCCAGGUAGAAAAAGACCAGUAUUCAGCUACCUUACAGGAGAGGGAAAGUCAGUUAGAGCAAAUUCAGACUUCACUGGACGAAAAAAUGAAAGAAAUUGACCUUUUAGGGAAGGAAUCUCAAAGUAAAACAGAGGAGUACCAAGAUUUGCUGAUGGAAUUAGAUAAAGUGAAAGAUGCUCUUGAGACCAGACAACAAGAAACCUCUGAUUUAAAGUCACAGAUAGCAGUAGCUGCAGCUCAGCAGAGUGAAUUGUUGGCUCAGCAUGAACAAGAUAUCAGGGCUUUACAAGGGGAAAAUGACUCGACGAAGGAAGAGGUUAACAAACUGCAGGAGGAGAACAGAUCAAUGUUAGACAGGAAUAACUUGUUACAGGAUGAAACACAACGGGACAUUGAAAAUAAACAAUCCGAAGUUAAAGACUUGAUGGAACGUGUUUCUGUGCUAACAGAGGAACUUGGUGAAACAAAUGUGCACAAGGAAAGUCUAGUCAGAGAUUUCAAGGAAAAAUGUGAUCAAGAAACUCAUCUCAGAGCAGAGGUAGAGAAACUUGGAAACAGUUUGCAGACUCUUGAAGGUGAAAAAGACACUGUUACUAAGAAUUUGGAAUCUGCCAAAGCAGAGGUUGAGGAAUUGAAAGGUGAAAACAACACUGUUACUAAGAAUUUGGAAUCUGUCAAAGCAGAGGUUGAGGAAUUGAAAGGGGAAAAAGACACUGUUACUAAGAAUUUGGAAUCUGUCAAAGCAGAGGUUGAGGAAUUGAAAGGUGAAAAAGAAACCCUACACAUUGAGUUUGAAUCGGUGAAAGGCAAAUUGUCCGCUCUUGAGGACGGAGCAUCAGGGUCAGAAAAACAGCUAGCGGAUAUAAGUGGUCAAUUAGAGAAACUUAAAGCAGAGAAAGAGGUAGCUAAUGCUAAAACAGCCUCGCUGCAAGAUUCACAUGACAGCCUCUCUGAAAAGUUGUCCAGUUCAGAAACUGAAGUUAAUAAACUAAAGCAGGACAAGCAAGAUUUGAAUGAGACAAUAAAAGAGUAUGAAAUCAAAGUCAAUAAUUUACAACAACUAGAAAGUGAAAUGGAACAUUUAAAUAAGCGGUGUGUUGAAUAUGAAAGAGUUCUUGGUGAGAGGAAUGAAGAGAGAAAGACACUAGAACUCACUCUGGCAGAAACGAGUACACAAUUGGCGACGUAUGUGGCCGACUGUGAGCAACUUAAAACCACACAAGUAGAAUUAGUAGAGAGCAGUGACAAAGUAAAAGCAGAGAAGGUAGGAUUAGUGGAGAGUAUGGAGAAACUGAAAGUGGAACAGGUGGAGCUGGUAUCACAAGUACAAAGAUUUACUCACCUGGAGGAGGACAGCAAACAAAAAUCUAACGACUCAAGUGCGGAGGUGGAGAAGCUUAGGAAGAACCUCAAAGAGAAGGAUGUUAUCUGUGGCAAGCUCAAGGCGAUGGCGGUCAAGUGUAAGCAGGAGCUCGCCGAGAUCAAUAAAAAGUUUGCUGAUAUCUCUGAAGAGCUGAAGGAAGUGAAACAGUCCAGAUCUGACCUUGGGCAGAAGUUAGAGGUCAUGGAACAGUCAAACAAAUCCAACUCCAUAGUAACAGAGAGUUACCAGACACUGCAGCAAGAACACAAGAAGUUGGCCCAGGAACUGGAGGCUCACAAGAAAACAGCCGACCAGUAUAAACUGGACCUUGAGCGUACUGUCCAGGACUCAUCCCAGGUCAAACAAAAACUGGCCAACACUAAGGAGGAAAAGGACAGAAUCAAUAGUGAUAAAGAGAAGCUGGCCACACAGAUCAAGGGAUUAGAGACUGCGGUGGGGGAACUGAAAUCCAAACUGACAGCUUCCGAACAGGAGACAGAGGCAAACAGAAUUCAACGGGAUGAAAUCUCCAAGGAAAAAUCGCAGUUACAAACCAGAUUGACUGACCAGGAGGAACGAUCAAAGACGGACCUGGAGAAACAGAAAGCCAUCAUUACUGGGCUCCAAGGUCAGAUACAGACCAUUCAGAAUCACCUAGAGCAGGCGAAACAGGAAGCCCAACAGAGCAACAUGAUGGAUCUGGAGAUAGCAGACUACGAACGGACAGUCCAGGCCCUGAACAUGCAGGUCACAGAGAAAGACGUGGCUGUCGGAGAGCUGAAGCUUGAAAUAGAAAGAAAGGAGGAAAGGGUCAAAUCUCUACAAGAACAGAUAGAGGCUGUUGAUGAACAAAGAAACCAGUCUGAAGAGAGGGGCAACAAGUUUAAACAAAUGCUGGUCAAAACCAAGAAAGAGCUUGCAGAUGCCAAGAAAUGGGAAACAGAACAGCGUACAUCAGAUGCUCACUUACGAGGCCAGAUUGAAGGUCUGAACCAACAGCUGGAGGAAAAUAAGAUGCAAACGAGUGAGGUGGCUGGAGACAACCAGAAGUUGAAGGAGAAACUGAGGUCAUUGUCAGACUCUAACCAGCGGACUAUCAGGUCGCUGGAAAGCCAGGUUCAGUCCCUACAGGAUGACCUAGAGGUGGUGAGGAGUGAACAGGGGGCAAUACAGGCAGAGUACGAAAGUUAUAAGGUGCGGGUACAUAGUGUGUUGAAACAACAGAAGAAGCCGUCACAGGAACCACUGAGUGAACAGGAAAAGUUAGAAAAGGAGAGACUAGAAAAGGCAGUGGAACAACUGAAGGGUAAAUUGGAGGAAACAAGUGCGGCCCUGAGCAGUACCAGACAGGAAGUGUCAGUAUUACAGGAAGAACACGAUCGUCUAUUACAGCGACACAACAAGGUGCUACUAGACACACAAGACAAAGAGGAUCACUACAGAAAAAGAAUGGAGGAGGCCAAUAAGGAAAAGGUGUUAUACAACAAAGAACUACAGGACACAGUUCAACAAUUAGCUGGUCAGAACGAGUCUCUGACCAACUCUUUGAAGGAUCAGAUAAAAUGUCUUCACGAAGACCAUCGUCGGGCCCUAGACUUGCUACAAAGACAGCUAGACUCGGUAGAAAAUGACAACUUUCGACUGCAGAGGGAACUGCAGCAUCAAGUCCAGCAUACUUCAAAGAUUCUCUCCGAACGGAAAAGUCCCGAGACAUUCCAAACUGUCCCAACCACAGAGUUCAUUACAGAUAUGAGACACGAAGAGCGACAGGAAGGGGAGGGGUCAGAAAUUGUGGAUCCUGAACCAUGUCCAAAGGGAAGUAAUAAGACAACCCUAGCUCCCAUGCCACUAGACAAGUUAUUGGUAGCUGGCCCAGAGGACACAGCCUCAAAGCUCAGUCCACAUGUAGAUGAGGCAAUACUCGAGGAGAAAAUUCUGACGGCUAACAAGAGACUAGAACAUUCAACAGAGCUUCUGAGUGAAUCUGAAGCAGCGGUGAUGAGACUGACAGAACAGGCCAAGAUCCUGAAGGAGGAGAUACGGAGGCUGGAGAGGAACCAAGAGAGGGAGAAAGAGGCAGCCAAUAUGGAAUACCUUAAAAACAUACUUCUUAAGUUCCUGAGCCUGAAGGUUGGCGAUGACAGACAGAAGCUGAUCCCGGUGUUGUGUACUAUGUUGAAACUGAGCCCGGAGGAGAAGUCUCUACUGGAUGCCGUAGCUCAGGGUGAAGAUCAAGGUCAACAAGCUCAGGCAGCAGGCUGGGGUGCAUAUCUCCAUCGAUGGUCGGGGCUGGCUGGCUAGUGACCAUCUAAUGUUGCACUGGACCACCACACAGAAACGGAGGAUCUUUCUCUCCUUUAUAAGGCUAGCACUUUAAAAGCUUCUGAUUUUUAAAUCAGCAUUAAUAUAGAUCUGAAUAUUCUCAAACACCCACAGUUUGGAUUUAUAUCUUCGUCAAAUAGUGCUGCUAGAACUAUGCUUGCAUUUAUGUGAUUUAUGUAAAGGGCUUGACCAUAGAACUACUGAUCAGUUUGAACACUGAUCUAGGUCCUACCUGUAUCAAAGUGAACCCUUGCUACAGAGCUGCCAAGCGGAAAUGUAAUGACCUUACAUGUGUAUCAGUUGGCGGUAACUACAGGUAGCUCCAGUGUUUGCAGACAGCAGUACCCAAAACAUCAAGGCUUCAAUUUUACUUUUCAAAUGAGAGCUUUUUUGUUGUUCUCAACAUUUCUGGUUUUGGAAUAUGUAUAAUUACAAUUAUUUCAAUCUUAGGAAUUAGUUUCCACUGUUGUAGGAGAUGCCACUUUUAACAGCAUGGAAAUAUUAUCUCUUUCUUUGGUUAAAGUUGUGUUUUUCCAUGUUGAAUAACGGAAAACCAAAUUUAUCGACACUUGCUUAGGCAAAACUGUUUGAAAAGAUUGUAAAACAUGGAUUUUCGGAGAUAACUGAAAGAUAUAUAAAUAUAUAUGUUUUCUGACAAGUGAUCUGGUUGGGGUACUCCAAUGAUACUGCCAUACUUACAGUCAUGAAUUAAUAACAUUUGGACCAACAAGUGGUCAAAGUUCAUACUAUAAUUCUUGUAAAGUGUGGGGCUAUAGUAAAGGCUAGCUCUAGUGUAAACUGUUAUAGAUCUUUGUAACACCAGUCACAGUAAGCACCAUUGCACCAUUGAGCCUAUUCCUAUUCCGUCACAAGGUAGACAAAGGUUGAAUCUUAAUACCUGUGUAGUUUGAUGGUUGUGACUUUGACCUUGGACAAUGGUCAAAGACAUCAACUUUACUUUAUAACAUUCCACUGUUGUCUUGUCAGAAUUUCUGACAUACCGGUCAUAAAAAGGUACAUGCAAUAAAUAUGUGCUUACAUGACAGCUUGUAUAUUAAUAUAGGAAUCAAAUACAAACACCAUUGUGUUUAAUGUGAUUGAUUGUCUCUGACAAUUGCCACUGAAGUUUUUACUGAUACGGUUACAAUUUAGUAUGAAAUUAGUACAAUUUAAACAGAAUAUCAACACAUUUACUUAUUUGUUUUGCAUUAUCAGACAGAUGCAGAAGAUUUUUCCAGCAUCCUUUUCAUUCAACUCUAUCACAAUCCACAGGUUGCUUUUGAACAUAACAUUUCCGGGAGUAAAAUCUGACACACCUGUAAAGAUUAAUACUAGUCUUGUACAGCAUCAGACUAGUUGCUCCGCCAUUAUAAAACUAAUAACUCUGAUCCACCUGGAAACUUUUUUUGAAAGUUGUUUUCCCCAUCAGUGAUUUAGAAAUACAAUGGAUUUUUAAAGCAUGACUAACUUUAUGAGUUGUUAAACUUAAGUUAAGACCUAUUCUCAAAAUGCACUUUUGAAAAAUGUCUGAAAAUUUACAUACCGGGUACAAGGUAUAUUUUUGUAUUUUGUCUAUGCAGAUGACAAUUCUAGAUCCCUAAAGAUAUAGUUUUAUUUUUGAAUUUUAAUGUAUUUCAAAAGAAAAUGGACACACUUUUGUGUUCAACUGUUGCUAAGUUGAUCAGAUUUGAUAGGACUGGUCCCAUUAGGUGUCCAGGCUAACAAGGUCCCACAGUAACUUGCUGUUACAGUAAGACUCUUCUUACAUACAAAACAUCAGACAAGGUUUUGUAUAUUCAGGGAAAAUCCUGCAAUUUGAGAGCAAUGGGCCAUUUCAGCAAUUUCUAGUCAAUAUCAAAAUUAAGAGGGACCAUUCUAUGUAAACUUGAAAGAAAUUUGGAUCAUAGAGGGGUCAAUUUAAGUUUUGAUGGGUCAAUGGCCAGGAUUAUCCCUGAUAUUGCUUGGGAAAUUAUAUUACAUGCAUUUACCUGAUAUUGUUAAAUAGAACAAGAUUUAAAUCAAAAUCAUGUUGUUAUUUAUCAAAUUGAAUGAAUAUUUUGAUCACAUAAAUCUGUGACUAAAAUUAUACAUUUUCAUAUUAGAUAGAGAUCUUUAUCUAAUACUAUUCAGCAUUUGUUUUCAUGUACGGUAGAAACAAUUUUACUACUCUUCUAGUAGAAGUAACUAUUUUUUAUACUUUGUAAUUUCAUAGUUUAGGUUAAUUAUAUCUUCUUGUUCAAUGUGUUACAAGGUACCAGGUGUCACAAGUCUUAUUCUGCGUUCCUUUUUGUAAAUAUCCUGUAUGAAUGUAAAAAUUGAAUACCGGUAUAUGGAUCCAAUAGGAUCUAUCCAGACGGAUAAGUCCUGUCAGAUAUGUCCAGCAGAUCAAUCCAUUCUUUGUUUCGGGAAUGACAUGGAGAAUUUAUUUUCAAGAUAUGACAAGAAACAUGAUUAUUUUUGUGUAAAUUAGGGGAGGGUGAUCAGAAAUAUUUGAAUAGAUGUACCAGUGUUGUUUUUUGUUCAUACUACACUACAUGUGAUAAUUGAUUUGAGGUUUUCUGUUUUUAAAUAUGCGGAUGAUCAUUUGGUUAUAUUACAUGAGGAAGUCAGAAAUAUGAGUACGUUGUGUAUCAGAGGGCGAUUUCUGCUUCAGUAAUAGUUAUGAAAAUAUCAAUGAUUUAAAUUUGAUAUGUCCUGACUCCUUAAGCUGAGGAAGCAUGUUAUCUUUUACAAUAAUAGUUAUUGAUUAGUAGAGUGUAGCCGUCAUAUGUGUUGACUUAAGUUUUUUGUUACCUGUACACAUGAGCAUGUUGACAAGGUUUGAUUAUCUGUACCAAUGUGUUGACAUGAAGUUGGACUACUUUUACACAUGUGUUGACAUUGUUGACAACUUAAUAUUUUGAAGUCAGAUUUGACAUCCUGUACACAUUUCUGAUUAACAGUUGGACUACCGAUACAAAAAUGCUGACAUUAGAUUUAACCAACUGUUCACAUGUAUUUAUGCAAUAUCUGACUAUCUGUUUCACAUGUGUUGACAUAGGAUUUGACGGACUGUCCACAUGUUGACAUAGGAUUUGACGGACUGUCUACAUGUUGACAUAGGAUUUGACGGACUGUCCACAUGUUGACAUAGGAUUUGACGGAUUUGACAGACUGUCCACAUGUGUUGACAUAAGAUUUGACCAACUGUUCAUAUGUGUUGACAUCAGAUUUGACUAUCUGUCCACAUAUAUGGACAUAGGAUUUGACAGACUGUCCAUAUGUGUUGGCAUAAGUUUGGACUAUCUGUAGACAUGUGUGGAUAGACUAAAAUAUCCUCUUUCCAAAAGUUUUGUAUUCAAAAUUAGCCAUGUUAGAGCUGUGAUUGUCAGUAUUAUUUCUACAAUUUUUUUGUAUUAAGCUAAAUCCAGCUUUGAACAAAUUGGCAUUAUAUGUGAUUGAAUAUUUGCGGGUAAGUUGAAUUUGUUCAUGGGUUUGAUUGUCUAAGUGUCCAAAUUUUCCUGUUUGUGAUGCCGAAGAUACUUUAAAAGUGCAGGAACUCAUGUGUAUGUCCCUUUAAAAGCUGUGGUAAAUGUAUGGGUUCUAGACUACCCACACCCCUGUAUGGCUUACGAAUUCAUGUAAAAUGAUGCCUUUUCAAUGUUUUCUAGUAAGUUUACUCUCCCUAGACCCACCACUAAGGCAAAGUGAGAACUCUGUCCUAUGCUUCCAGAGCAACUUAUGUUUAUAAACUCCCUUACAAAAGGGAAACCAACAAGUCCAAGUGAAGUGAUACCAUAUUGUGCCACAAUGAAUAUUGACUGUCAGAGUGAAGUGUGCGAACCUGCAGGUGCUACAAACCUAGAGGUAGUAGUACUUGAUCUUGCUGUAUGAAAAGAAAUCCAAUGUUGCAUUUUAUGAAAUACCAGCAAUUGAACAAAUUUCAUUGUUAUGUAGGACACAGGAUUUUCUUUACCUUUUUACAUCUUCUGUAUGCUUAUUCAAAGAUAACAGUAUAUGGUAUAGAACAAAAAUAUCCUAUACAUUUUUAACUUUGAAUUAAAUCUAAUAUUGUUAUAAUUUCACCCCUCUUAAAAACAAUAAAUCUGGUUUUCACCAAGAAAUAUCCUGUAGUAAUACUGGAAAAACACUUCUCACUAAAUACAAACCUACAUGCUCCUACGGUGUACUGUUCAGUGUUAGAUUCUUAAAAAGACAACUCUGAUUUUCUAUAAUGGAGUUUCUAUCAUUCAUCUAUGCAUUGUGAUAAGAAUAUUGUGAUUAGGAAUGACAGUGUGACUGUAUUUCACCCUUUCACUCCUAUGUUACUUGAGUAGACUCUACCAUGCAUUGAUAUGGAUGAGUCCAUUAUGGUCUACAGUAGUGAAAGGUUUAACUCGGAUAUCAGGCUGUAGAUUAUAUACACAAGUGCUUCAAACCAAUUCUAGAAGUUUAAAGCUCUGUGAUUAUGCAAAAAAGAAAAUAUUUAUAACUAAUUGUUUGUUUCCAAUAUUACCAAUGUCCCUAAUAAAAAGCUUGUUAUAUGUAUGUAACUAUUUGUGAUAUAAAUGUAUAUAUCUUCAUAUGACCUUAGCUGUUCCAGGGACCCAAAACCCUUAAUAAACAAUAAGUAUUUCACAAAUUCAUGGCCAUGGAGAUUGUUUUCUUCGCUUACUCCUCACAAAAUGUGAAAUUCUGCCAGCUUUGGUCAAGUAACCUCCACCCCAGUAUGUGAUAAAAAGAAUCUUAAAUCAGUUCUAAUUGUGCGUGAAAUUAUGAAAUUCUCUGAAGCUGAUUUCAUCAGAUUGUAUGUUCACAAAAUGGGAAUUUGGUCGAGAUCCUCUGUACUGUUAAACUUCUGAAAGUUCCAACAAUUUUUGUGUUACACACGUCAUGAUUUAGCACACUAGAUUAAUAUUUAACUUUUCAGGAAUACAGUGAUUUGUUACUAUGUGAUAAACAUAAUUUAGCAUUUGCCAAUAAGGCCUGAAAAGUGCUUAAAUAUGAAAGCCACCAAGAUAAAAGAGUUGUAUAUUUAUUGUAGUUAAAUUUGUUUUGAAUAGCUACUUUGUUUUAUUGAAAUAAUAGUUUUCUACUGUAAAGUAAAAUUUUGUUAAGAUGUUAAUAAUAGUUUUCGACUGUCCACUAAGAUAAGGUUAUUUGUAAUGUAGUUGUUACUUUUGUUAAGUAUGGUACUUUGUUUUAUUGAAAUAAAAGUCUUUUACUGUUAUGAUUGUAUUGCGAGUGAAAAGGUUCUGUAGCUAUGGGAAUCGUAGCUUCUAGGCCCGAUCAGUUGGGUUUUUUUUUACGGUUCCUGCAGCUAAAGGUUCUGCAGAUACAUUAAUUCUAUUUUGCUCUGGACAUUAUAUAAGUUAUAGAAGUUUUCUAUAUUUUUGUCUUCUAUUAUGUAUCCGUUGUGUUUAAAUGCAUGUUUUCAGAUGUAAAUUUAUUUAUCUAAAGUUUGAGUGAUUGUGUUCAGAUGGUAAAGUGUGCGUGAACCUUUAUAAUGACUUCCUGUCCGUUUAUUUUUUACUGAAUAAUGAAAACAACUUAUAAUCAAUAUCAUAAAAUUUUGUUCGUCAAGGAAUGACCAAGAUUUUGGGGGAUUUAUAUGGCUUUUUACUGAAUAAUGAAAACACAUUAUUAUCAAUAUUAUAAAAUUAUGUCCAUCCAUAAUUGGCCAAGAUCUUUGGAAGUUACACGGCAUUUGCCAGAAAACCCGUCAAAAUAUUUUAAUUAAAAAAGACUAACACAUUUUAAAUUUACAGUUUGCAACUAUUUAUUAAUUUCAGACAGUUGAAAUAUGUUAAAAGCAGUUUCAGUGUAUGACAAGACUUUAAUAUUUUUUAGGUUACAGAGUUAGUUACGAUUUGGUUGUGUGUACAUAAUGUUAGGAUCAUUUCUUGAAAGAAAACCAUAACUUACAUAGCCAGCUAACAGCAUUAUAUAAAGGAAAGAAGGAAAACUUGCUAAUGCAUGUAGCCUGUCCGAUGAAGUGACAUUGAAUGUAACACCGAAAGUAUAUAGUGUUGAUAAAAUAAAUAAUAAGAACCACCAAAUCUUACUAAAUUUUAAAUGAUAUAUAUACUCCUGAAGAAUCCCACAUGUUCGGGCGAAACCGGUAGACAUACAAUAAAGAAACCAACCUAUCCUGAGCUUGUUGUGAUUGAAUAUUGCCUUUAAAUGAUAUAUUAUAUGGCUUCCCUUUUUGCUUUUGAUAAAAUACUGGUGAAUUUAACGAUGCAUAAUAUUGUUUUCAUUAGCAUCACCUCAUGUUAAACUGAACACAAGUCAUGAUGCAGUUACAAUUUAAUAUUUGUUUUUUCAUUUGAAACCAUCAUUUGUUUAAAAAAUUGCCAGUUGGAAGAGGUACCAAGGUUUCGUAACGUGUUUGGUUAACUUGUAGUGUAACACUUUUAGUAGGGAAAGGAAAGUUUUUUUUUACAGAGAUUUCUAUGGAAAUUGGGUGAAAAUUACAAGGGAGACAUAUCAGUAAUAUUUCCUAUACUCUUGUAAAUGAAUGAGGUACACACUACACCUGAUUGUGAUCUUGUAUAAAUGGUGUUUUAUUUUGUGCAAUAAUUCAAGUGGGGAAAUAAAAGUUGAAAACAA
Molecule: unclassified non-coding RNA, 12806 nt
Filed under: Mizuhopecten yessoensis (Yesso scallop)
Lineage: Eukaryota; Metazoa; Mollusca; Bivalvia; Pectinida; Pectinidae
Description: gRIP and coiled-coil domain-containing protein 2- like, transcript variant X3
Source: RNAcentral